CGCAAUGCGGUCAGGCUUUACCAUGCAGUCGAGCGCCCCGCAAGGGGAGCGGCAGACGGGUGAGUAACGCGUGGGAACGUACCUUUUGCUACGGAAUAACUCAGGGAAACUUGUGCUAAUACCGUAUGUGCCCUUCGGGGGAAAGAUUUAUCGGCAAAGGAUCGGCCCGCGUUGGAUUAGCUAGUUGGUGAGGUAAAGGCUCACCAAGGCGACGAUCCAUAGCUGGUCUGAGAGGAUGAUCAGCCACACUGGGACUGAGACACGGCCCAGACUCCUACGGGAGGCAGCAGUGGGGAAUAUUGGACAAUGGGCGCAAGCCUGAUCCAGCCAUGCCGCGUGAGUGAUGAAGGCCCUAGGGUUGUAAAGCUCUUUCACCGGUGAAGAUAAUGACGGUAACCGGAGAAGAAGCCCCGGCUAACUUCGUGCCAGCAGCGGCGGUAAUACUGA
Molecule: ribosomal RNA, 447 nt
Filed under: Ochrobactrum sp. TW39B
Lineage: Bacteria; Pseudomonadati; Pseudomonadota; Alphaproteobacteria; Hyphomicrobiales; Brucellaceae
Description: bacterial SSU rRNA
Rfam family: Bacterial small subunit ribosomal RNA
Source: RNAcentral